GAAGCUAACACAAUUUGCGCCAACGUGGCUUGCUGAAUUGUCAUUUGCGAUCCCUUCGUGGCUGGAUGACAAAGCACCACCUGUCUUGGACAAUGGUUCUUGCACAACCUUCAUGCAGCAGUCACACUCCCCACGCGAAGGCCUUGUGCAUAAAAGAGUUUAGCAUGCACCUUAUUCUCGUCCCUCGAUGUAUAUAUGAACUGACCUUCACAAUCUAAGUUAUCAUCAUUUGGACUCAAUCUAACUCUUUCUUUUUUUCACUUCCUUGAUAAAAAAACAAAAAAUGUGUCCCGUUUCAAAUAUUAGCAUUGCCUCGUGGUGCAAGAAGCAUGAAAAUGGAGAUGGUAGAGUCACUGCCAAAUUCGAGGAUCUUUCACCGGUAACAUGCUCAGAAGGGGACGGGGACGAUGACGAUGACGAUGAUGAUGAUGGCGACUAUGAUUUUGCUCCGGCUGCAUAAGUAUAGAUAGACUAGUACUACUUGUUAUUAACUUAAUUAGCAUAGCUAGAGUUAGCUCAAGUUUUGUAAUGAAGACUAUUAUAUUCUAUGGUCAGUGGUCACAUAUAUAAUAAUAUAGUAAACCUAAUUAUAAAUAAUUAGUAUUCACAGGGCUCUUUUCCUUCUGAUGUCAUCUUCAUCUACAUGUUCGUCCUGCGACAGGUGACCUAAUGUGUGUAUGUCAGGGUGGCCUUGCAAAAUACGUACUAUGUACGCAGCCAGAAAAAGGAAAAACCUAAUAACAUUAUUUAUUUCUAAUAUCAUUUAUUAAUCGUCUUUGAAAUUUGAAAGCAAAUUUGGUUGAUAAA
RNAcentral lists this long non-coding RNA (807 nucleotides) under Malus domestica (apple). Its description in RNAcentral is "long non-coding RNA (MDOM_LNC014680)". Lineage: Eukaryota; Viridiplantae; Streptophyta; Magnoliopsida; Rosales; Rosaceae. The record is from RNAcentral.